GACGAACGCUGGCGGCGUGCCUAGUACAUGCAAGUUGAGCGCUGAAGGUUGGUACUUGUACCAACUGGAUGAGCAGCAAACGGGUGAGUAACGCGUGGGGAAUCUGCCUUUGAGCGGGGGACAACAUUUGGAAACGAAUGCUAAUACCGCAUAAAAACUUUAAACACAAGUUUUAAGUUUGAAAGAUGCAAUUGCAUCACUCAAAGAUGAUCCCGCGUUGUAGUAGCUAGUUGGUGAGGUAAAGGCUCACCAAGGCGAUGAUACAUAGCCGACCUGAGAGGGUGAUCGGCCACAACGGGACUGGGACACGGCCCAAACUCCUACGGGAGGCAGCAGUAGGGAAACUUCGGCAAUGGACGAAAGUCUGGCCGAGCAACGCCGCGGGAGUGAAGAAGGUUGUCGGAUCGUAAAACUCUGUUGGUAGGGAAGAACGUUGGUGGGAGUGGAAAGCUCAUCAAGUGACGGUAACUACCCAGAAAGGGACGGCUAACUACGUG
RNAcentral lists this ribosomal RNA (497 nucleotides) under uncultured bacterium. RNAcentral describes it as "partial 16S ribosomal RNA". It matches the Rfam family "Bacterial small subunit ribosomal RNA", at positions 28 to 507 of the family's 1533-position model. The record is from RNAcentral.